This 124-nucleotide small RNA is filed under the name Marmota monax (woodchuck). Lineage: Eukaryota; Metazoa; Chordata; Mammalia; Rodentia; Sciuridae. The record is from RNAcentral.
GCUGGGCACGGUGGCUCACUCCUGUAAUCCCAGCAGCUUGGAGGCUGAGACAGGAGUAUCAUGAGAUCAAAGUUAGCCUCAGUAAUGGUGAGGUACAAAGCAACUUAGUGAGAUCCUGUCUCUA